UCUACCGUUAACCCUGGGUUUCCGUGUCCAACUUUGACUGUCCGUCUUAUAUGAAAUUUUUUUAUAAUUCGUAUUUUCAUUAUUAUUAGAUGAUAAAACAUGAUUAAUAUUUUAUGCGUGAUUUGUCUUUUUAAUUUUUUUCAUAAAUUUUUCAAAUAAGACGGACGGUCAAACGUUGGGCACGAAAACCAGAGUUUGUCUUUUU
This is a microRNA precursor of Oryza sativa Japonica Group (Japanese rice), 205 nucleotides long. It matches the Rfam family "MIR812 microRNA precursor family". Lineage: Eukaryota; Viridiplantae; Streptophyta; Magnoliopsida; Poales; Poaceae. The record is from Rfam.